Long non-coding RNA from Bubalus bubalis (water buffalo), 639 nucleotides. RefSeq lists it as uncharacterized. The record is from RefSeq and is a predicted model, not a curated record. NCBI's taxonomy places the organism in Eukaryota, Metazoa, Chordata, Mammalia, Artiodactyla, Bovidae. The transcript is spliced from 2 exons.
CCGGUAGGUUGCCGUCUAUGGGGUCGCACAGAGUCGGACACGACUGAAGUGACUUAGCAGCAGCAGCAAGACCCCUACCCAGGUGGAGGAGAGUGAUAACCUGCUGGUCACAAGCAGAAGACUGUUUGAAACCAGGAGGUUAACGAUUAAAAUCCCCUGAAUAACACACUGUUACCUGCAUCAUCAACCAAUCAGAAGAAAGCCACGCCCCCUACAGCCCCCGCCCCCAAACAUUACCUUAAAAAAACCCCCUUCCUUGAACGCCAUUGGGGAGCUCGGGUUUUUCCGCAUAAGUUUUGGGGCUUAACUUCCCCACAACCAGGCGUCAGUGGAUGGGCGUCACUGCAUGGAAGAUAAGGUUCCUAAAAGGAAAGUUUAAGGGGUUCAGACAAGAUCACACAAGUUCAAGUCUGGAAUCUCUGGAUAAUACCUCUGGCUUCUCAGGGAUGGUCGAAGUUCCUCCUCCAAUUACUGAGACAAUCACCUCCCUACUCUUGCCACUUUGCCCUGUUCAAUGAAACUCUCCAAUGACCACCCACAAACCUAUGUCACUGUUGCCUCUAAGAAACCGGGAAAGAGCAAAUACUUCUGAGAAAUUUUCAGUUUUUCUGGCUUGAAUAAAAAGAUUAGAAAUGAGAA